ACCUCUUCCCAUUCCGAACAGAGAAGUUAAGCUCACUAACGCCGAUGGUACUGCCUAUUUAGGUGGGAGAGUAGGUAGCCGCCUCUU
This 87-nucleotide ribosomal RNA is filed under the name Rikenellaceae bacterium. Lineage: Bacteria; Pseudomonadati; Bacteroidota; Bacteroidia; Bacteroidales; Rikenellaceae. The record is from RNAcentral.